Molecule: long non-coding RNA, 517 nt
Organism: Bos taurus (domestic cattle)
Lineage: Eukaryota; Metazoa; Chordata; Mammalia; Artiodactyla; Bovidae
Source: Ensembl
GAUGUAGGUUCAAUCCCUGGUGGGGAAGAUCCUUUGGAGGAGAGCAUGCAACCCACUUCAGUGUUCUUGCCUGGAGAAUCCCAUGGACAGAGGAGCCUGGUGGGCUACAGUCCAUGGGGUUGCAAAGAGUCGGACAGGAAGCGACUUUGCACAUAUGUACAUAAUUUUCCCCAACUGCAUGCAUGCAGUUAUUUUUAGUCUCAUAGUUUCUUUGUAUUCUCUUGCUCAAGGAGAUGUCUGUCUUAAGUGCAAGCACUCUAGUAAAGGUUGCCAAGUUUCAGGUCCCAGCCUGACUCACAAGGACCUCUUUUUGGGAAGCAGACCCGCUCCAGAUGAAAACUGCUGACCACAAAAAUGUAGACCCUAGACUGGUUGAAACCAGAAAAUUGAUGAUGCUUGAAACUUCACCUAAAUGCCAACCAAUCCAAGAAUGGUCCACGAGCUGAUCAUGCCCUACUCCCUGAACACUGUGAUACUCCUCACUGCCCGCUCCAGAGUGGGUCACAGUCUUUAGGAC